GCCUUCUUGGCUCAGGGGUAGAGCGCUUCACUCGUACUUUCGAAUGAUGAAGCGGUCACUGGUUCGAAUCCAGUAGGAGGCA
This 82-nucleotide transfer RNA is filed under the name Tremella mesenterica DSM 1558. It matches the Rfam family "tRNA". Rfam says of the family: Transfer RNA (tRNA) molecules are approximately 80 nucleotides in length. Their secondary structure includes four short double-helical elements and three loops (D, anti-codon, and T loops). Lineage: Eukaryota; Fungi; Basidiomycota; Tremellomycetes; Tremellales; Tremellaceae. The record is from Rfam by way of RNAcentral.